Molecule: unclassified non-coding RNA, 190 nt
Filed under: uncultured Chytridiomycota
Lineage: Eukaryota; Fungi; Chytridiomycota
Description: sequence contains ITS1
Source: RNAcentral
AUGAACUGGGGUUGAGUGGCUGUUGCCCUCGAUCGUCAACACCUUGUGAAUUGUAUUUGUAUUUGGCAAGUGAUGUAGCAGUUGGCUGCAGAGUUUUGCCCUCAGCAGUUAGCUGGGAAGUAAAAGCUUGUCUCUUUAUUGAACCAUAAUGCUUUUUUAGUCUGAGCAAUAAAUCAAAGAAAUAAUGAAA